UGAGGAAUAUUGCGCAAUGGGCGAAAGCCUGACGCAGCGACGCCGCGUGAAGGAUGAAGGUCUUCGGAUUGUAAACUUCUGUUAAGCGGGAAGAAAUCUCGAUUUUGAAUAAAAGUCGAGUCUGACGGUACCGCUAGAGAAAGCACUGGCUAACCUCGUGCCAGCAGCCGCGGUAAUACGAGGGGUGCAAACGUUAUUCGGAUUUAUUGGGUGUAAAGGGUGCGUAGACGGUGUAUUAAGUUUGUUGUUAAAUCUCUUGGCCUAACUGAGAGCUUGCAAUGAAAACUGAUAUGCUUGAGUGUGGAAGAGAGAAGUGGAAUUCUCGGAGUAGCGGUAAAAUGCGUAGAUCUCGAGAGGAACACCGAUGGCGAAGGCAGCUUCUUGGUCCAUUACUGACGUUGAGGCACGAAAGCGUGGGGAGCAAACAGG
This 429-nucleotide ribosomal RNA is filed under the name uncultured bacterium. Its description in RNAcentral is "bacterial SSU rRNA". It matches the Rfam family "Bacterial small subunit ribosomal RNA", at positions 355 to 776 of the family's 1533-position model. The record is from RNAcentral.